CGCGCAGGCGGUCGAAUUAGUCGAAUGUGAAAGCCCCCGGCUCAACUGGGGAGGGUCAUUCGAUACUGUUCGACUCGAAGGCAGGAGAGGGAAGUGGAAUUCCCGGUGUAGUGGUGAAAUGCGCAGAUAUCGGGAGGAACACCAGUGGCGAAGGCGACUUCCUGGCCUGUUCUUGACGCUGAGGCGCGAAAGCUAGGGGAGCAAACG
This 207-nucleotide ribosomal RNA is filed under the name uncultured bacterium. RNAcentral's name for it is "partial 16S ribosomal RNA". It matches the Rfam family "Bacterial small subunit ribosomal RNA", at positions 568 to 774 of the family's 1533-position model. The record is from RNAcentral.